GAUGAACGCUGGCGGCGUGCCUAAUACAUGCAAGUCGAACGAAACUUCUUUAUCACUGAGUGCUUGCACUCACCGAUAAAGAGUUGAGUGGCGAACGGGUGAGUAACACGUGGGCAACCUGCCCAAAAGAGGGGGAUAACACUUGGAAACAGGUGCUAAUACCGCAUAACCAUAGUUACCGCAUGGUAACUAUGUAAAAGGUGGCUAUACUACCGCUUUUGGAUGGGCCCGCGGCGCAUUAGCUAGUUGGUAGGGUAAAGGCUUACCAAGGCAAUGAUGCGUAGCCGAAUUGAGAGGUUGAUCGGCCACAUUGGGACUGAGACACGGCCCAAACUCCUACGGGAGGCAGCAGUAGGGAAUCUUCCGCAAAGGGCGAAAGCCUGAUGGAGCAACGCCGCGUGGGUGAAGAAGGUCUUCGGAUCGUAAAACCCUGUUGUUAGAGAAGAAAGUGCGUGAGAGUAACUGUUCACGUUUCGACGGUAUCUAACCAGAAAGCCACGGCUAACUACGUG
Molecule: ribosomal RNA, 512 nt
Filed under: uncultured bacterium
Lineage: Bacteria
Description: partial 16S ribosomal RNA
Rfam family: Bacterial small subunit ribosomal RNA
Source: RNAcentral